AGGACGGUAUGGAGUGAUUAGGACCUGAGUGACGAACAUCUAAACAGAGGGAACAGCUGGGAAUUUACUAGGAUUGGGAGGGGGAUUAACUACAGCAUUAUCCCAAAGACACAGAAUGAGAGAGAAAGGUGAGAUAGUAAGAGUACAGUAGAGUGGGGGAAAAAGGGGAGCAUGUGAAAGGGUGCUAGACCAAAAGAGGGUGACCAUAUAUUAGAUAGUGAUAGUGAGGUGGAAAAGAGAAGAAAUAGAGGCUAUUAAGGCUCAGAGAAAGUGUUAAACAUAGUGAGCAGAGAAGCGAUCAGAGAUAAAUAUAGAGAGCAGUUGAGAAAGUGACACAUCGGGUGACGUUAUAAAGUGACGCAAGGAUUGUGACAUCAAGGGGGAGAGUCUGAGGUAAAAGAGGUUACAGAAGAGGACGAGAGAGAGAGAGAGAGAGAGUGAGAACUGAGAAGAGAGAGAAGCUUUAUAGACCGAGUGACCACCCCUCUCACAACACUGGACCCUUUAACUCAACUCCAUAUCUACCUGAAGCAGAGCAGCCGCUUCUACGACAUGUCAAAAGAGCAGCUGGAAGGAGUAGUUCGCACAGUGGAGGCCCUUUUGGGAGAGGCCGAGUCUCUAAGAGCAAAGUGUCAGCGGCAAAGUGAUGAAAUGCGGCAGCUCUGUGAAGAUAUGCGGAAUGAGAACAGGGACCUGGUAGAGCGUUUUGGCCAGGCUGAAAGGGACCUUGCCGAGGUCAAGCGCUCAGUCAAUGAGCUGAUGGACACCAAGGUGGCUUUUGAAGCCAGAGAAAGGCAAGUGCGGAAGCUGAGCAAACAACUGUGAGAAGUAAAAAAAAAAAGGAAACAACAUAGAAACAAAAAAUCAUCAGCCACAUUCAAAAUAUUGCUCCCCAUUUUUAUGUUUUUAGGAAGUCUAACUUCACUACUGCUAGUUUCUUUAUAGUUCCCUACUUCUAACAUGCCUACCUCCCUCACUCGAGGAGGGAAUUAUAUUGCAGCUCUUAAGUCAGAAGAGACAAUGUUUAUAAAUAACAGAUCAUCUUAUGUCACGGAUUAAACUCUGUUUCACUCUC
This is a long non-coding RNA of Xenopus laevis (African clawed frog), 1075 nucleotides long. RefSeq lists it as uncharacterized. NCBI's taxonomy places the organism in Eukaryota, Metazoa, Chordata, Amphibia, Anura, Pipidae. The record is from RefSeq and is a predicted model, not a curated record. The transcript is spliced from 2 exons.